Molecule: ribosomal RNA, 497 nt
Filed under: uncultured bacterium
Lineage: Bacteria
Description: partial 16S ribosomal RNA
Rfam family: Bacterial small subunit ribosomal RNA
Source: RNAcentral
GAUGAACGCUGGCGGCGUGCCUAAUACAUGCAAGUCGAGCGAACAGACGAGGAGCUUGCUCCUCUGACGUUAGCGGCGGACGGGUGAGUAACACGUGGAUAACCUACCUAUAAGACUGGGAUAACUUCGGGAAACCGGAGCUAAUACCGGAUAAUAUAUUGAACCGCAUGGUUUAAUAGUGAAAGACGGUUUUGCUGUCACUUAUAGAUGGAUCCGCGCCGCAUUAGCUAGUUGGUAAGGUAACGGCUUACCAAGGCAACGAUGCGUAGCCGACCUGAGAGGGUGAUCGGCCACACUGGAACUGUGACACGGUCCAGACUCCUACGGGAGGCAGCAGUAGGGAAUCUUCCGCAAUGGGCGAAAGCCUGACGGAGCAACGCCGCGUGAGUGAUGAAGGUCUUCGGAUCGUAAAACUCUGUUAUUAGGGAAGAACAAAUGUGUAAGUAACUAUGCACGUCUUGACGGUACCUAAUCAGAAAGCCACGGCUAACUACGUG